GGAGAAGCCGCGUCAGAUGA
This 20-nucleotide non-coding RNA is filed under the name Arabidopsis thaliana (thale cress). Lineage: Eukaryota; Viridiplantae; Streptophyta; Magnoliopsida; Brassicales; Brassicaceae. The record is from RNAcentral.